GGGCGUUAAGUUGCAGGGUAUAGACCCGAAACCCGGUGAUCUAGCCAUGGGCAGGUUGAAGGUUGGGUAACACUAACUGGAGGACCGAACCGACUAAUGUUGAAAAAUUAGCGGAUGACCUGUGGCUGGGGGUGAAAGGCCAAUCAAACCGGGAGAUAGCUGGUUCUCCCCGAAAGCUAUUUAGGUAGCGCCUCGUGAAUUCAUCUCCGGGGGUAGAGCACUGUUUCGGCUAGGGGGCCAUCCCGGCUUACCAACCCGAUGCAAACUGCGAAUACCGGAGAAUGUUAUCACGGGAGACACACGGCGGGUGCUAACGUCCGUCGUGAAGAGGGAAACAACCCAGACCGCCAGCUAAGGUCCCAAAGUCAUAGUUAAGUGGGAAACGAUGUGGGAAGGCCCAGACAGCCAGGAUGUUGGCUUAGAAGCAGCCAUCAUUUAAAGAAAGCGUAAUAGCUCACUGGUCGAGUCGGCCUGCGCGGAAGAUGUAACGGGGCUAAACUAUGCACCGAAGCUGCGGCAGCGA
RNAcentral lists this ribosomal RNA (523 nucleotides) under Salmonella enterica. RNAcentral describes it as "bacterial LSU rRNA". It matches the Rfam family "Bacterial large subunit ribosomal RNA", at positions 690 to 1211 of the family's 2925-position model. Lineage: Bacteria; Pseudomonadati; Pseudomonadota; Gammaproteobacteria; Enterobacterales; Enterobacteriaceae. The record is from RNAcentral.